AGAUCGGAAGCGAGAAUGUUGACAUGAGUAGCGACAAACAGGGUGAGAGACCCUGUCGCCGAAAGUCCAAGGGUUCCUGCUUAAAGCUAAUCUGAGCAGGGUAAGCCGGCCCCUAAGGCGAGGCCGAAAGGCGUAGUCGUUGGGAACCAGGUUAAUAUUCCGGGGCCAGGAGGAUGUGACGGAUCUCGACGGUAGUUUGCCCUUAUCGGAUUGGGUGAGCUGCUUAGAGGUUCCUGGAAAUAGCCCUCCACAAGACCGUACCCCAAACCGACACAGGUGGACUGGUAGAGAAUACCAAGGCGCUUGAGAGAACCACAUCAAAGGAACUCGGCAAAAUGCUCCCGUAAGUUCGCGAGAAGGGAGCCCCGUCUGUAGGCAACUAUGGGCGGGGGGCACAAACCAGGGGGUGGCGACUGUUUACUUAAAACACAGGGCUGUGCGAAGCCGUAAGGCGACGUAUACAGUCUGACGCCUGCCCGGUGCUGGAAGGUUAAGAGGAGGGGUGCAAGCUCUGAAUUGAAGCCCCAGUAAACGGCGGCCGUAACCAUAACGGUCCUAAGGUAGCGAAAUUCCUUGUCGGGUAAGUUCCGACCUGCACGAAUGGCGUAACGAUCUCCCCGCUGUCUCUGAUGUGGACUCAGCGAAAUUGAACUGUGUGUCAAGAUGCACACUUCCCGCGGUUAGACGGAAAGACCCCAUGAACCUUUACUCCAGCUUUGCACUGGCAUCAGGAUUGUGAUGUGCAGGAUAGGUGGUAGGCAUCGAAGCAGAGACGCCAGUUUCUGUGGAGCCUCCCUUGAGAUACCACCCUUCGCACUCUUGAUGUCUAACCGCGGCCCGUUAUCCGGGUCCGGGACCAUGCAUGGUGGGGAGUUUGACUGGGGCGGUCGCCUCCCAAACAGUAACGGAGGCGCGCGAAGGUUGGCUCAGAGCGGUCGGAAAUCGCUCGUUGAGUGCAAUGGCAGAAGCCAGCCUGACCGCAAGACUGACAAGUCGAGCAGAGACGAAAGUCGGCCAUAGUGAUCCGGUGGUCCCAAGUGGGAGGGCCAUCGCUCAACGGAUAAAAGGUACUCUGGGGAUAACAGGCUGAUGAUGCCCAAGAGUCCAUAUCGACGGCAUCGUUUGGCACCUCGAUGUCGGCUCAUCUCAUCCUGGGGCUGGAGCAGGUCCCAAGGGUAUGGCUGUUCGCCAUUUAAAGAGGUACGUGAGCUGGGUUUAGAACGUCGUGAGACAGUUCGGUCCCUAUCUGCCGUGGGUGUAGGAGACUUGAGAAGAGUUGCCCCUAGUACGAGAGGACCGGGGUGAACGUUCCACUGGUGGACCAGUUGUCGUGCCAACGGCAGUGCUGGGUAGCUAUGAACGGACAGGAUAACCGCUGAAGGCAUCUAAGCGGGAAGCCCCCUUCAAAACAAGGUCUCCCUUGAGAGCCGUGGAAGACCACCACGUCGAUAGGCCAGAGGUGUAAGUGCAGCAAUGCAUACAGCUGACUGGUACUAAUUGCUC
This 1503-nucleotide ribosomal RNA is filed under the name metagenome. Its description in RNAcentral is "bacterial LSU rRNA". It matches the Rfam family "Bacterial large subunit ribosomal RNA", at positions 1279 to 2910 of the family's 2925-position model. The record is from RNAcentral.